UUGGCCCAGGAAGUCAUUUGUUUGGACAGUAGCAGUGGCAGUGAGGAUGAAAAAAGCAGUCGAGAUGAGGUGAUUGAACUGAGCUCUGGAGAGGAGGACACUCUGCACAUUGUGGACAGCAGUGAAUCUGUCAGUGAAGAUGAUGAGGAAGAAGAGAAGGGUGGCACCCAUGUCAAUGAUGUCUUAAACCAGCGUGACGCCCUUGGGCGGGUCCUUGUCAACCUAAACCACCCUCCAGAGGAGGAAAAUGUCUUCCUUGCCCCACAGUUGGCACGGGCUGUGAAACCUCAUCAGAUUGGCGGGAUCCGGUUCCUUUACGAUAACCUAGUGGAGUCUCUGGAGAGGUUUAAGACCAGCAGUGGCUUUGGCUGUAUUCUGGCCCACAGCAUGGGUCUGGGGAAAACUUUGCAAGUGAUCUCUUUCAUCGACGUCCUCUUCCGCCACACGCCAGCCAAAACAGUCCUUGCCAUUGUGCCGAAUUGGCUGGCAGAGUUCAACAUGUGGCUUCCACCUCCUGAAGCCCUCCCAGCUGACAACAAGCCUGAAGAAGUCCAGCCUCGGUUCUUUAAAGUUCACAUCUUGAAUGAUGAGCACAAGACGAUGGCAUCUCGUGCUAAAGUGAUGGCUGAUUGGGUGUCAGAGGGUGGCGUGCUGCUGAUGGGGUACGAGAUGUACAGACUCCUCACUCUGAAGAAAUCAUUUGCCACAGGUAGACCGAAGAAAACCAAGAAGCGUUCUCACCCAGUCAUCAUUGAUCUAGAUGAGGAAGAUCGGCAGCAGGAGUUUCGGAGAGAGUUUGAGAAGGCUUUAUGCCGCCCUGGCCCUGAUGUAGUAAUCUGUGAUGAGGGACACCGCAUCAAAAACUGCCAGGCCAGCACCUCACAGGCUCUGAAGAAUAUCCGCUCUCGCCGCCGGGUGGUGCUGACUGGGUACCCUCUGCAAAACAACCUCAUUGAGUACUGGUGCAUGGUGGACUUUGUGCGCCCAGACUUCCUUGGCACCCGGCAGGAGUUCAGCAACAUGUUUGAACGUCCUAUCCUGAAUGGGCAAUGUAUUGACAGCACACCUCAGGACGUCCGCCUCAUGCGGUACCGGAGCCAUGUCCUGCACAGUCUUCUGGAGGGCUUUGUGCAGAGGAGAGGCCACACUGUGCUGAAGAUUCAUCUCCCUGCCAAGGAAGAAAAUGUGAUCCUUGUGCGGCUCUCCAAGAUCCAGCGAGAUUUGUACACACAGUUCAUGGAUCGCUUCCGGGACUGUGGUAGCAGCGGUUGGCUGGGGCUGAACCCCCUUAAGGCAUUCUGUGUGUGUUGCAAGGUGCAUUGGGGCCUCAGGGAAGAUUGAGAUGGGGACUAAGGAUACACAUGGUCCCAAGGGAGUUACUCCUACUGAGAGUCUUCAAUAAAGGGAGAAUAAAGUGAGAGGGGGCCACCUCAGUUCACUGCACUGGAGGUUUGGGGGCUCCAAGGAGAGAGGUGAUGGUUUUGUACCACAUAACUCCUGGGGGUGCCAUUCACACAGUGUAAUAUAACUGAUGCCCCCUGCAGUGUGCAACUCAGCUGCACAACUUGUUAUUCCAAGGGGAUUAAUGGAAAAAUACUGUGGGGCAGCGUUUUUGACUGCUAGCAUAAUCAGAAUUCAAGAGAUAUAUAGCUUAGACAAGUUAUUAGGGGUACCUUCCAUUGGAUUCCAUACUUAAUCAGAUUGAGACCUCUCUCAUUCUUUUCUUGAGGGACCUGUUUCAUUGACUUCAUACCUCUACCCCUGGCUACUCUUCAGCAGACCUGUUAGGUAUUAUUCUUAAUUGACCACUGCUUUAAUAAGUCAGCAGAAGGUGUGUGUCUGGGGACAAGAGGGGUUUCCAAAUAUUUCUUUUAUAGCCACAGUCCUGGGUCAAGGCCAGGAAACUAAGGCAAGCGUGGUCUGUGAUGAUGCUUUGGUAUCACUGCAUCCUUCCUUCUUCCUUUCCUCUCUUCUCCUGGGAGUUCUCAACUCUUGCUAGGAAUACUCUGUGAAAUGAUAUGUGAUUGGUCUACUAUAAGUCAGAUACAUUUUGUCUAUAGUUUUAUACAGUAGCAGACUGUAGCCACACUGUGAAACUGGAACAUUCUUACUCUUAUUUGAAUAAGAAUGUCAAAAAGGCUUGUGACAGCUUUUUUGAUUAUGUAUCAAACAUACUUACUGGCAUGGCUCCUGGUAUGCAUGCUGCCAUUCAUGUGUCAUGGUGACCAGAACUGAUAAUCAAAACAAAUAUGCAGGCCCUUUGGCUGUGAAGGGCUCUGACUUUAAUUUUUGGUGUGACAGUGUUUAUUGUGGGAUGUGUGUGUGUGAGCAAGUAUGUGUUUCCAGACUCCCUGGGACACCCUUGGAAUGUUCUUUGUCCUGUGUCUCCUCUCCCUUUCCUUGAACCUCAGAUCUGGAAUCACCCUGAUGUGCUGUAUGAAGCCCUUCAGAAGGAGAGCUUGGCCAAUGAGCAGGACCUAGACGUGGAAGAACUUGGCUCUGCAGGGACCAGUGCCCGCUGUCCACCACAGGGAACAAAAGGCAAGGGAGAGGAUAGCACCUUGGCUUCCUCGAUGGGAGAGGCAACCAAUAGCAAGUUCCUACAGGGCGUUGGCUUCAACCCUUUCCAGGAGCGAGGCAACAACAUUGUCACAUAUGAAUGGGCCAAGGAUCUUCUGACUAAUUACCAGACUGGAGUCCUAGAAAACUCUCCCAAGAUGGUACUGCUUUUCCACCUGAUUGAGGAAAGUGUGAAGCUUGGGGACAAGAUCCUUGUGUUUAGCCAGAGUCUUUCCACCUUGGCUCUCAUCGAGGAAUUCCUUGGAAAACGAGAAGUACCCUGUCCACCUGGUGCCGAGGGGCAAGGAGCACAGAAGUGGGUUAGAAACAUCAGCUACUUCCGGCUAGAUGGUAGCACCCCUGCCUUUGAGAGGGAGCGGCUUAUUAAUCAGUUCAAUGAUCCCAGCAACCUCACCACCUGGCUGUUCCUUCUCUCUACAAGGGCCGGAUGCUUGGGUGUGAAUCUGAUUGGUGCCAACCGAGUGGUGGUGUUUGAUGCUUCCUGGAACCCUUGCCAUGAUGCCCAGGCAGUAUGUCGGGUAUACCGUUAUGGCCAGAAAAAGCCCUGUUACAUCUAUCGCCUUGUGGCUGAUUACACUCUAGAAAAGAAGAUCUAUGACCGUCAGAUUUCCAAGCAGGGCAUGUCAGAUCGGGUGGUGGAUGAUCUAAAUCCAAUGCUGAACUUCACACGGAAAGAGGUGGAAAACCUACUGCACUUUGUUGAGAAGGAGCCAGCUCCCCAAGUUUCCUUGAACGUAAAGGGGAUCAAGGAGUCAGUCCUGCAACUGGCCUGUCUGAAGUACCCUCACCUCAUCACCAAGGAGCCUUUCGAGCAUGAGUCAUUGCUCUUGAACCGAAAGGAUCACAAGCUAACCAAGGCUGAGAAAAAAGCAGCAAAGAAAAGCUAUGAAGAAGACAAACGCACAUCAGUCCCCUAUACCCGCCCAUCGUAUGCGCAGUAUUACCCUGCCAGCGAUCAGAGCCUGACCAGCAUCCCCGCCUUCAGCCAGAGAAACUGGCAGCCAACUUUGAAGGGUGAUGAAAAGCCUGUGGCCAGUGUUCGUCCUGUGCAGUCCACCCCCAUCCCCAUGAUGCCCCGGCAUGUCCCACUGGGAGGAAGUGUAAGCUCUGCCUCCAGCACAAAUCCAUCCAUGAACUUUCCGAUCAACUACUUGCAGCGUGCAGGAGUCCUUGUGCAGAAGGUGGUCACCACGACAGAUAUUGUUAUUCCUGGACUCAACAGCUCCACAGAUGUACAGGCAAGAAUUAAUGCUGGUGAGAGCAUCCACAUCAUCCGUGGGACAAAAGGGACGUACAUCCGUACCAGUGAUGGACGGAUCUUUGCUGUCCGGGCAACUGGCAAACCAAAGGUUCCUGAAGAUGGUCGGAUGGCUGCCUCAGGUUCCCAGGGACCUUCUUGCGAGUCCACAAGCAACGGCAGACACAGUGCCUCAUCACCCAAAGCCCCCGACCCUGAGGGGCUGGCCAGGCCCGUCUCUCCUGACAGCCCAGAGAUCAUCAGUGAGCUUCAGCAGUAUGCAGAUGUGGCUGCUGCCCGGGAAUCCCGUCAGAGCUCCCCAAGCACCAAUGCCGCCCUGCCUGGCCCCCCGGCCCAACUUAUGGACAGCAGUGCUGUUCCCGGGACAGCUCUCGGAACUGAGCCUCGACUAGGGGGUCAUUGCCUCAAUAGUUCCCUCUUGGUGACUGGCCAGCCCUGUGGUGACAGGCACCCAGUGCUGGACUUAAGGGGCCACAAGCGAAAGUUGGCCACACCACCUGCUGCCCAGGAGUCAUCCCGCCGGCGGUCCAGGAAGGGUCAUCUGCCAGCCCCCGUGCAGCCGUAUGAACACGGGUAUCCAGUCUCUGGCGGGUUUGCCAUGCCACCCGUCUCCUUAAACCAUAACCUCACCACCCCCUUCACCUCCCAGGCUGGGGAGAACUCCCUGUUUAUGGGCAGUACCCCCUCCUACUACCAGCUGUCCAAUUUGCUGGCAGAUGCCCGCCUGGUGUUUCCAGUGACUACUGACCCUCUGGUGCCAGCAGGCCCCGUCAGUUCCUCUUCCACGGCUACCUCAGUCACUGCCAGCAACCCCUCCUUCAUGCUCAACCCUUCUGUGCCAGGGAUACUACCCAGCUAUUCACUCCCAUUCUCACAGCCACUCCUGUCCGAGCCGAGGAUGUUUGCGCCUUUUCCUUCCCCUGUCUUGCCCAGCAACCUUUCGCGGGGCAUGUCUAUCUAUCCAGGCUACAUGUCCCCACAUGCAGGCUACCCAGCUGGUGGCCUCCUACGGUCCCAGGUGCCUCCAUUUGACUCUCAUGAGGUUGCCGAGGUUGGGUUCAGCUCCAAUGAUGAUGAGGAUAAAGACGAUGAUGUGAUAGAGGUCACUGGGAAAUAGCUAGGGAGCCCCUCCCCACCUCACUUGGGGCCCCCAGCAGGUUGCCCACCAAGCUGGAAGGCAGUGAUUUAGACCUUUUGAGAAUAGGACACUUGGCAGGAGGGAAAAGGAAGAGGACAAAGGAGGGUGGUUGGCCAAAGUGGCAGAGCUCUGUUGCUGUUUAACAAAAGAGGC
RNAcentral lists this small RNA (5129 nucleotides) under Pan troglodytes (chimpanzee). RNAcentral describes it as "retained intron". Lineage: Eukaryota; Metazoa; Chordata; Mammalia; Primates; Hominidae. The record is from RNAcentral.